RNAcentral lists this long non-coding RNA (1850 nucleotides) under Solanum tuberosum (potato). RNAcentral's name for it is "long non-coding RNA (STUB_LNC007532)". The record is from RNAcentral. Lineage: Eukaryota; Viridiplantae; Streptophyta; Magnoliopsida; Solanales; Solanaceae.
UUCCUUUUGUUACUUCCAAGCAGUCCACUGAAACUCAUCUCGUGUGGUGGUGGAGGUUUCUUCGUUGUCAAGCUUCGGGUCUCAGAACGCUGCUCCAAAGAAGGUAACUUCGCCUUCUCUUACGUUCUGUUUUCGAUACGGUGUGCUAUGUGUUCGAUACUUGGUAUGGAGUUUGUUAUUAAGAACGUUUGGUUCCUUCGCUUUUAAUUCUUUGCUUUAGUACCAUUUUCCUGUGAAUUUUUUAAGCAGUAAGCAUGAUUCAAACAUCAAUGAAGUCACUUUAGUAUUAUAUGUUGGUCGGGAUAUUCAUUAGCUCGAUUUUGUAUCUAUGAAGCUAGUUGAUUCGCUACUUGAUGUUGCUCGAAAUGGCUUAAAACUCACUUGGUUUCGACUACGAGUGUACCGGUUGGGUCGUUUUGGAUCAUUCGCUGUUUGAUUUAGCUUUCAUUAGUGUGAUGAGAAUGUGACCACAAUCUUGGUCAUUUGCUUUGGUGUUUUUUCUAUUGUGAAGGUUUCUUGCUAAUACUAGUUUGAAUUCGCGUAGUAGAUAUAUCUACUCUCUGUUUUCGAUCAGCUUGAGUGGUAUAUGUCUCUUUGGAUUUCAACUCAUGGUGGGAUGCUUGUAACUCUACCAUCGUAAUGUGACGAUCUAACUAAGGUUACUCUUAUUUUCUAGUGAAUAGCCCUCACCAUCUUUGUCUAAAAUCUAAAAAUAUCCUUUCUGAAUUUUUAACUUGCUGUUCGCCUUAGUUUUACUUAAGUGUUAAUGUUCAACAGUGCUAUGGACAUUGUUUUAUAUUAUGCCAUUAUUUAACAUGUUUGCUUAUAUUGCCCACUUUAGUUAUUUGAUUGUAGUUAUCUUCUUCCUUUGCUUAUAGUGAGUUAAUUGGCUACUGUCUUAAAUUUUGUCUCUUUAGUAUAACAAAGCCGGUAGUUUUAAAAUCCUCAUAGAUAUAUCUAGUGUCAUUUAUUAUAUGAGGUAAUUUUAGUCAAAUGUGCAACAUGUUUCUUUCUGCAUUUUUUGAGUUGUGUUAGUUAUUGCUCGUAAAUUUUAUUGUCACAUAUGUACACGAGCACAUGCCUCUCCUUGGAAUUUCCUUGUGUAUGAUUUCUCAUUUGUUUACUAUUAGUUUUUGUAGCCUCCUAUCUUGUAUUGAAGUUUAUGAUAUUUGGGUCCCAAUUUGGUUUUAUAGUUGACUUGGGUGACAUUUUUAGCUCAAAAUAUCUGAGUUGCUUUCAUUCUAAUUAAAUUAUGUCCUAAUUUCUUACUUAUUUCGCAUACUAAUUUGGCUCUUUUCUUUGUCGCAUAAACCCGUCCCGAGUCCAUGGUGGACUUAUCUACCUUGCAUUUCGGAGUUGAGUCAUAAAAGCUCGAUCUUUGCUUUCUUUAUUUCUUGAGUCAACCCCCUACAUAUUCGGAAGUUGUUACAGGUCCCGGAGAUCCAACAUACUGCUGGAAAUUAGUUCGAAAGCCUAUAAAGUGGGCUGUAUACAUACUGUAUACAACAUUAUACGCUGAUAUACAAGCUCAAUAUAACAAAUAUGUAUAUGUGGCCAAAAAUGGAGAUACAGGUUGGAGGUGUCAAAGCAAACUGCAUACAGUUGGUAUAUGGGUUGAUAUACAGGAAAAAGGGCCUAUGCACACGCUGAUAUACACUGAUAUACAUCAGCCGUAUACCAAAAACGGGAUUGGGUUAAACCCAAAAAUUCCAACAAAUUUGGCCCAAAAAGGAGGCCCAAAUUCAAUUUCUCUCUUACUCUUUAAUUAAUUAAUUGUGAUUAUUUAUUGUUUGUUAUUUAACUCUAACUUUAUAAUUUUUAAUUAACUUAAUUAGAUUCCUCAAAAGAUA